AUUGAACGCUGGCGGCAGGCCUAACACAUGCAAGUCGAACGGUAACAGGAAGAAGCUUGCUUCUUUGCUGACGAGCGGCGGACGGGUGAGUAAUGUCUGGGAAACUGCCUGAUGGAGGGGGAUAACUACUGGAAACGGUUGCUAAUACCGCAUAACGUCGCAAGACCAAAGAGGGGGACCUUCGGGCCCCUUGCCAUCGGAUGUGCCCAGAUGGGAUUAGCUAGUAGGUGGGGUAACGGCUCACCUAGGCGACGAUCCCUAGCUGGUCUGAGAGGAUGACCAGCCACACUGGAACUGAGACACGGUCCAGACUCCUACGGGAGGCAGCAGUGGGGAAUAUUGCACAAUGGGCGCAAGCCUGAUGCAGCCAUGCCGCGUGUAUGAAGAAGGCCUUCGGGUUGUAAAGUACUUUCAGCGGGGAGGAAGGGAGUAAAGUUAAUACCUUUGCUCAUUGACGUUACCCGCAGAAGAAGCACCGGCUAACUCCGUG
This 490-nucleotide ribosomal RNA is filed under the name uncultured bacterium. RNAcentral's name for it is "partial 16S ribosomal RNA". It matches the Rfam family "Bacterial small subunit ribosomal RNA", at positions 30 to 507 of the family's 1533-position model. The record is from RNAcentral.